AGAUUAGUGAGUAAUCACCUUUUGAAUUCAUGGGUUAGGAAGAUUAAGGGUGAUUAGGUUAGAACUAGGAUGUUUUAGUGUAGAUCAUUCAUAUUUCCUUGCUAGUUGAGUGAGUAUAAUGCAUCUUCUGAGUUGGCCACUCAGUAGUUGAUCCUUAGGCAUUUCCCCCCGAAAGGUGUUCGAGGAAAUGCCCGAGACAGCUCUUCUUAGCUUUUAGCAUACUUUGCCAAAGACAUUUGUUGUUAGAGGUGCUAAGAUAGCCAUUGGACUUGCUAGUUAUGAUUGCUUUCAUAUUAUUCAACCAAAGACAUUUGAUGUUUGAAUUGUGUUAAGUAAAUGAACAUUCAUCUAGACAUAGAGUUUGUUUAGGAUUGUGUCCAAGCUUAAGGUUAAUAGAUUGAUUGAUCGUUUGCCAUCUUUAGUUCGAAACUUGAUCACCC
Molecule: long non-coding RNA, 440 nt
Filed under: Brassica napus (rape)
Lineage: Eukaryota; Viridiplantae; Streptophyta; Magnoliopsida; Brassicales; Brassicaceae
Description: long non-coding RNA (BNAP_LNC001825)
Source: RNAcentral